ACCAUGCAAGUCGGACGGUAGCACAGAGAGCUUGCUCUUGGGUGACGAGUGGCGGACGGGUGAGUAAUGUCUGGGGAUCUGCCCGAUAGAGGGGGAUAACCACUGGAAACGGUGGCUAAUACCGCAUAACGUCGCAAGACCAAAGAGGGGGACCUUCGGGCCUCUCACUAUCGGAUGAACCCAGAUGGGAUUAGCUAGUAGGCGGGGUAAUGGCCCACCUAGGCGACAAUCCCUAGCUGGUCUGAGAGGAUGACCAGCCACACUGGAACUGAGACACGGUCCAGACUCCUACGGGAGGCAGCAGUGGGGAAUAUUGCACAAUGGGCGCAAGCCUGAUGCACCCAUGCCGCGUGUAUGAAAAAAGCCUUCGGGUUGUAAAGUACUUUCACCGGGGAGGAAGGCGAUGCGGUUAAUAACCCCGUCGAUUGACGUUACCCGCACAAAAAACACCGGGCUAACUCCGUGCCAGCAGCCGCGGUAAUACGGAGGGUGCAAGCGUUAAUCGGAAUUACUGGGCGUAAAGCGCACGCACGCGGUCUGUUAAGUCAGAUGUGAAAUCCCCGGGCUUAACCUGGGAACUGCAUUUGAAACUGGCAGGCUUGAGUCUUGUAGAGGGGGGUAGAAUUCCAGGU
RNAcentral lists this ribosomal RNA (632 nucleotides) under Pantoea brenneri. Its description in RNAcentral is "bacterial SSU rRNA". It matches the Rfam family "Bacterial small subunit ribosomal RNA", at positions 53 to 674 of the family's 1533-position model. Lineage: Bacteria; Pseudomonadati; Pseudomonadota; Gammaproteobacteria; Enterobacterales; Erwiniaceae. The record is from RNAcentral.